GACAGCAUGGCAUAGUGGUUUGAGUCUUAGACUGCAACUCUGGAGACCAGGUUUUGAUUCCCCACUCAGUCA
Phrynosoma platyrhinos (Desert horned lizard) is the source of this 72-nucleotide non-coding RNA. NCBI's taxonomy places the organism in Eukaryota, Metazoa, Chordata, Lepidosauria, Squamata, Phrynosomatidae. The record is from the annotation of a GenBank genome assembly.